Molecule: ribosomal RNA, 286 nt
Filed under: uncultured prokaryote
Description: partial 16S ribosomal RNA
Rfam family: Bacterial small subunit ribosomal RNA
Source: RNAcentral
UACGUAGGGGCGAGCGUUAUCCGGAAUUAUUGGGCGUAAAGAGUACGUAGGUGGUUUUUUAAGUCGCAGGGUUUAAGGUCGAUGGCUCAACUGUCGUUCGCCCUCGUGAACUGGAAGACUUGAGUACAGGAGAGGAAAGACGGAAUUCCUAGUGUAGCGGUGAAAUAGCAUAGAUAUUAGGAGGAACACCAGUGGCGAAGGCGGCUUUCUUGGACUGUAACUGACACUGAGGUACGAAAGCGUGGGGAGCAACCAGGAUUAGAUACCCUGGUAGUCCCUGAGCGGG